GGUAGCCGACCUGAGAGGGUGACCGGCCACACUGGGACUGAGACACGGCCCAGACUCCUACGGGAGGCAGCAGUGGGGAAUAUUGCACAAUGGGCGGAAGCCUGAUGCAGCGACGCCGCGUGAGGGAUGAAGGCCUUCGGGUUGUAAACCUCUUUCAGCAGGGACGAAGCGUGAGUGACGGUACCUGCAGAAGAAGCACCGGCUAACUACGUGCCAGCAGCCGCGGUAAUACGUAGGGUGCGAGCGUUGNCCGGAAUUACUGGGCGUAAAGAGUUCGUAGGCGGUUUGUCGCGUCGUUUGUGAAAACCCGGGGCUCAACUUCGGGCUUGCAGGCGAUACGGGCAGACUUGAGUGUUUCAGGGGAGACUGGAAUUCC
This 376-nucleotide ribosomal RNA is filed under the name uncultured bacterium. RNAcentral's name for it is "bacterial SSU rRNA". It matches the Rfam family "Bacterial small subunit ribosomal RNA", at positions 282 to 670 of the family's 1533-position model. The record is from RNAcentral.